Molecule: long non-coding RNA, 1104 nt
Organism: Gadus morhua (Atlantic cod)
Lineage: Eukaryota; Metazoa; Chordata; Actinopteri; Gadiformes; Gadidae
Exons: 2
Source: RefSeq, a predicted model, not a curated record
CUACAAAAUGUCCCACAAUACUCCAUUAUGUCUUCCGAAAAUGUUAUACUUAAUAAACCCUUAAUAAGAGAUACCUUUCAUGAAAAUGUAUGUUGUACUUACUCGUAGUAUGUCCAUCUGAGCAAGAGUCAUAUUCACCGGUGUUAAUUAGUUUUUGGUCUAAGUUAUCACGUUCAAUGCGAUAAUGAUCACGAAAUUAUCACGAUUGAAAUCAGAUCAUUUCUAUCGGUGGCUUUAAAGUCGGCCUAGGCUACCUUUUUUCAUAUAUAUGAAAAAUUCUCGUCCAUUUAUCGAACAAGAAAUAGGACAAACACGAAGUGUGGAGAAAUGUUUCGUAUCGGAUUGCUCAGACGCCAGGUGACUUAAUUAGAGUCGUUUGGAUGGUUUAAAACCCCUGGUUUUCUGAUUGCCGGCGUGCACUCAAUGGAUGAGAGGAAACAUGGAGGCUGAACGUCUACAUACAGACACGAGAAGCUUUGAUGGUUCCUCGACGUCAGAGCUAGACAGGGCAUUCUUUGGGGAGCGGAAUCAACUGUCUACUUUGUCAUAUGGCCAUCUGUCUGGAUCACGAAUGUCAAACGACAUGGCAAAUGCAUCCUCAGCCGGAAGGCUGCACACUCCAACAUCUCUCUGUCAAGUGUAUGUGUCUUCUCCCUGCCACGAUGAUCUGAAAGCCUCAACCAGGCGAGGUCCAAAAUCCCAAACGCCUGGGUUCUUCGAUGGAAAGGUCUCGACCCCGAACCAGAACGAGAUGCACCAGAAGCCCAGGGUGGUGGUGUCUUUUGAGCAGUCCCUUAUUGACGUUUCAGCAUCCCAACUUCCAUGGGACCUUUCGUUCAUCAAGACGGACAUCGGGCCCCACCCCUACGUUGAAUCCACAACAUUGGAGUCCACGUUGAGUCCGACGCAUCGCUUACCAACUCUAUCACUAGUAGAGUUUGCCUCUCCAAUAUGGCCGGAUGCUCCGCCCAAACGGGCUUAGCACAGGUCUAUUUGAUAUAUUCAGCCCACAAGAUGCAUGCAGGAUUAAUGGUAAUGAACUGUUAUGGAACCCCUACAAUACUUAUUUUAAAAAUUGACAUUCCAAUAAAGUUUUUUAAUCAA